UGGAGAUCCAGAGGCAUAAUCACGAGGCCGACCAGUGACUGGUCAUCAAUUGCAAGGUUUACAAUGUCUCCAGCUGGGCCGACAGGCAUCCGGGUGGGCACCAGGUCCUCAACCACUGUGCUGGGGAAGAUGCCAUGGAUGUCUUCAGGGCCAUGCAUCCAGAGCUUGACAUUGUGCAGUUGUACCUGAAGCCACUGCUCAUUGGAGAACUUGCCCCAGGAGAGCCCAGCCAGGAAAGACACAAAAAU
Molecule: long non-coding RNA, 248 nt
Filed under: Homo sapiens (human)
Lineage: Eukaryota; Metazoa; Chordata; Mammalia; Primates; Hominidae
Description: HSALNT0175281
Source: RNAcentral